AAUGAACGCUGGCGGCGUGCCUAACACAUGCAAGUUGAGCGGUAAGGCCCCUUCGGGGGUACACGAGCAGCGAACGGGUGAGUAUCGCGUGGGUAAUCUACCUAGAGGUGGGGGAUAGCCUCGGGAAACCGAGGGUAAUACCGCAUGAGUCCUCGACGGCAUAAGUCGACGAGGGGAAAGGCGGGGCUCCUUCGGGACCUGUCGCCUCUGGAUGAGCCCGCGUCCGAUUAGCUAGUUGGUGGGGUAAUGGCCUACCAAGGCAACGAUCGGUAGCCGGCCUGAGAGGGUGAACGGCCACAUUGGGACUGAGACACGGCCCAGACUCCUACGGGAGGCAGCAGUGGGGAAUUUUGGGCAAUGGGGGAAACCCUGACCCAGCGACGCCGCGUGGAGGAUGACGGCCUUCGGGUUGUAAACUCCUGUCAGGUGGGAAGAAGAGCUUGUCGGUUAAUACCCGGCAGGAAUUGACGGUACCACCAAAGGAAGCCCCGGCUAACUCCGUG
RNAcentral lists this ribosomal RNA (503 nucleotides) under uncultured bacterium. Its description in RNAcentral is "bacterial SSU rRNA". It matches the Rfam family "Bacterial small subunit ribosomal RNA", at positions 28 to 507 of the family's 1533-position model. The record is from RNAcentral.